This 63-nucleotide non-coding RNA is filed under the name Thermodesulfobium narugense. RNAcentral's name for it is "Fluoride sequence". It matches the Rfam family "Fluoride riboswitch aptamer (crcB RNA motif)". RNAcentral also lists the same sequence under 1 other name. The record is from RNAcentral. Lineage: Bacteria; Pseudomonadati; Thermodesulfobiota; Thermodesulfobiia; Thermodesulfobiales; Thermodesulfobiaceae.
AAAAAUAUCGGUGAUGGAGUUCACCGUAAUGCCCCAUAGAUGGCUGAUGACUCCUAGUAUAUU